AUUGAACGCUGGCGGCAUGCCUUACACAUGCAAGUCGAACGGCAGCACGGGAGCUUGCUCCUGGUGGCGAGUGGCGAACGGGUGAGUAAUACAUCGGAACGUACCCUGAAGUGGGGGAUAACGUAGCGAAAGUUACGCUAAUACCGCAUAUUCUGUGAGCAGGAAAGAGGGGGAUCGCAAGACCUCUUGCUUUAGGAGCGGCCGAUGUCGGAUUAGCUAGUUGGUGAGGUAAAGGCUCACCAAGGCGACGAUCCGUAGCGGGUCUGAGAGGAUGAUCCGCCACACUGGGACUGAGACACGGCCCAGACUCCUACGGGAGGCAGCAGUGGGGAAUUUUGGACAAUGGGCGCAAGCCUGAUCCAGCCAUGCCGCGUGAGUGAAGAAGGCCUUCGGUUGUAAAGCUCUUCGUGGAGAAU
This 416-nucleotide ribosomal RNA is filed under the name uncultured bacterium. Its description in RNAcentral is "bacterial SSU rRNA". It matches the Rfam family "Bacterial small subunit ribosomal RNA", at positions 30 to 445 of the family's 1533-position model. The record is from RNAcentral.